This is a long non-coding RNA of Pseudopipra pipra, 529 nucleotides long. RefSeq lists it as uncharacterized. The record is from RefSeq and is a predicted model, not a curated record. The transcript is spliced from 2 exons. NCBI's taxonomy places the organism in Eukaryota, Metazoa, Chordata, Aves, Passeriformes, Pipridae.
CUGGAAACUUUUAGCUGAACAUAGAAGCUUGUUUAAGACUGGUUGGUUAAAUCAGGAUAGAAGAUUUAGAGGAUCCAAUUCCUAUUGAACAAGCUGAGCCUUCACACCAUGAACACAUCAUCACAGCCCUUCAGGAGAGAUUGUGGUCAAGCAAAUAUGUCCUCUGUUUCUCCCAUGGGGAUUACUCACUAGCAAAGAAAUGGAAAUGCCGGGUGAUACCGCCUAAUGUGUCCAAGUAGAAGAAACUGGUGAAAUGAAGGAGGAAGUGGUUCCUGCAUACUGGACAUCUGCAACUGCUUCUGCGUGCACAUGGGGGAAGGCUUCUGCUUCUUUUCAGACAUGCUUUGGACAGUAUGAGAAUUAUUCACUGACAAUACAAGCAAAGUAGAUAGCACUGUGCAGACCAAAUUAGUCUACUGCUAGAAAAUGAGAGAGAGAAGGAAAAAUAAUAUUGCUUUGAGCAUGCUAAAAACUAGCUAGCUCUCCCCUUUCUUUUUCAAAAAUUGAAAAAUCCAUGCUAAUGAUGGCA